CUCAGGUGUUGUUGGGUAGGGGAGCGUUCUGUAAGCCUGCGAAGGUGGCCUGUGAGGGUUGCUGGAGGUAUCAGAAGUGCGAAUGCUGACAUAAGUAACGAUAAAGCGGGUGAAAAGCCCGCUCGCCGGAAGACCAAGGGUUCCUGUCCAACGUUAAUCGGGGCAGGGUGAGUCGACCCCUAAGGCGAGGCCGAAAGGCGUAGUCGAUGGGAAACGGGUUAAUAUUCCCGUACUUGGUGUUACUGCGAAGGGGGGACGGAGAAGGCUAUGUUGGCCGGGCGACGGUUGUCCCGGUUUAAGCGUGUAGGUGUGUGUUCCAGGUAAAUCCGGUUCACUUUAACACUGAGGCGUGACGACGAGGCACUACGGUGCUGAAGCAACAAAUGCCCUGCUUCCAGGAAAAGCCUCUAAGCAUCAGGUAACAUCAAAUCGUACCCCAAACCGACACAGGUGGUCAGGUAGAGAAUACCAAGGCGCUUGAGAGAACUCGGGUGAAGGAACUAGGCAAAAUGGUGCCGUAACUUCGGGAGAAGGCACGCUGACAC
This 545-nucleotide ribosomal RNA is filed under the name Salmonella enterica. Its description in RNAcentral is "partial 23S ribosomal RNA". It matches the Rfam family "Bacterial large subunit ribosomal RNA", at positions 1213 to 1757 of the family's 2925-position model. Lineage: Bacteria; Pseudomonadati; Pseudomonadota; Gammaproteobacteria; Enterobacterales; Enterobacteriaceae. The record is from RNAcentral.